CACACCGCCCGUCACACCAUGGGAGUUGGCUUUACCCGAAGGCGGUGCGCUAACCAGCAAUGGAGGCAGCCGACCACGGUAGGGCCAGCGACUGGGGUG
Molecule: ribosomal RNA, 99 nt
Filed under: uncultured bacterium
Lineage: Bacteria
Description: partial 16S ribosomal RNA
Rfam family: Bacterial small subunit ribosomal RNA
Source: RNAcentral